UACGUAGGUGGCAAGCGUUGUCCGGAAUUAUUGGGUGUAAAGGGUGCGUAGGUGGUUACAUAAGUCUGUGGUAGAAGUUCGGGGCUCAACCCCGUGAUGCCAUAGAAACUGUGUAACUUGAGUAUAGUAGAGGUUAGUGGAAUUCAAUGUGGAGCGGUGGAAUGCGUAGAUAUAUUGAGGAACACCAGUGGCGAAGGCGACUAACUGGGCUAUUACUGACACUGAGGCACGAAAGCGUGGGGAGCAAAUAGG
RNAcentral lists this ribosomal RNA (252 nucleotides) under uncultured bacterium. RNAcentral describes it as "partial 16S ribosomal RNA". It matches the Rfam family "Bacterial small subunit ribosomal RNA", at positions 524 to 776 of the family's 1533-position model. The record is from RNAcentral.